GUCUUUUUGAGUUAUUUUGAAAGUCUGACCUGCCCACUGAAUUUUUAAAUGGCCGCAGUAUUCUAACUGUGCAAAGGUAGCAUAAUCAUUAGUCUUUUAAUUGGAGGCUGGUAUGAACGGUUGGACGAGGUAUUAACUGUUUCAUAUAUAUUUAUAUUAGAAUUUUAUUUUUUAGUUAAAAAGCUAAAAUAGUAUUAAAAGACGAGAAGACCCUAUAAAUCUUUAUAUUUUGUAUAUUUUAAAUGGUUUAGAUUUAUUUUAUUUUUAUUAUAAAAGAUAUUUUGUUGGGGUGAUGUUAAAAUUUAAUGAACUUUUAAUUAUUAAUGGUCAUUAAUUUAUGUAUUAUUGAUCCACUAAUAGUGAUUAUAAGAUUAAGUUACUUUAGGGAUAACAGCGUAAUUUUUUUGGAGAGUUCAUAUCGAUAGAAAAGUUUGCGACCUCGAUGUUGGAUUAAGAUAUAAUUUUAGGUGUAGCCGCUUAAAUUUUAAGUCUGUUCGACUUUUAAAUUCUU
This 511-nucleotide ribosomal RNA is filed under the name Dacus siliqualactis. RNAcentral describes it as "partial 16S ribosomal RNA". It matches the Rfam family "Bacterial large subunit ribosomal RNA", at positions 1893 to 2597 of the family's 2925-position model. Lineage: Eukaryota; Metazoa; Arthropoda; Insecta; Diptera; Tephritidae. The record is from RNAcentral.